CGCCCUAAGUGGCACAUCAAAUUUUGCCACCCUGGACAUUGCAGUCGGGAUUUGAAGUAGGUCUCAUCAUGAUCAUGCACGUGUCUCAAUCAGGAGAAGGCGUUUACAGUGGCUGGUGGUAGAGAAAAGCACAUGUUCUCCUCAAAACAGUCCGUCAUUUUCUCGGAGAUGAUUUGUACAUCAGGAUGUUUCACCUUUUGGUUUUUCGUUUUCUCAUCUAGGAUCUAGGAGAAGAGAUAAUCUCAUAUUCAUUAGGUUAUCGUCAUAUUAUCGUACAAGUUUGUGAUAAUUGUCCAAAACAUCAUUCCCAGUACUUCCUUGCUCAAGCAGCACACCUCCUGGCGUGAAGUUUAUAUCAUGCCAAUUCUCUUUGAUGAGUAAUAGGGUAAGUCUAAUAAACCUACAUAAAGAUUCUUUAAUUCAGUUUGCAUAUGAGCAAUGUAGUACGCCUGAUCAAUUUGCAUAAAGAUUAUAUGUUAUUUCAGUUGUCGCUGA
Molecule: non-coding RNA, 495 nt
Organism: Lolium perenne
Lineage: Eukaryota; Viridiplantae; Streptophyta; Magnoliopsida; Poales; Poaceae
Source: RefSeq, a predicted model, not a curated record